RNAcentral lists this ribosomal RNA (375 nucleotides) under uncultured organism. RNAcentral describes it as "partial 16S ribosomal RNA". It matches the Rfam family "Bacterial small subunit ribosomal RNA", at positions 527 to 896 of the family's 1533-position model. The record is from RNAcentral.
GAAGGGUGCAAGCGUUACUCGGAAUUACUGGGCGUAAAGCGUGCGUAGGUGGUGGUUUAAGUCUGCUGUGAAAGCCCUGGGCUCAACCUGGGAAUUGCAGUGGAUACUGGGUCACUAGAGUGUGGUAGAGGGAUGCGGAAUUUCCGGUGUAGCAGUGAAAUGCGUAGAGAUCGGAAGGAACAUCCGUGGCGAAGGCGGCAUCCUGGGCCAACACUGACACUGAGGCACGAAAGCGUGGGGGGGAGCAAACAGGAUUAGAUACCCUGGUAGUCCACGCCCUAAACGAUGCGAACUGGAUGUUGGGUGCAACUUGGCACCCAGUAUCGAAGCUAACGCGUUAAGUUCGCCGCCCUGGGGAGUACGGUCGCAAGACUG